CCCCUCCAGUUCAGAGGGCAAGGCCACAGACAUGAAGAAGACCUGGCCUUCUCCUGGUUCUAGAAGGUUCCAGGAGACAAAAUAUCUGACUCAUUCAUUCCCAGAGACACUGACUUCCUGGACUGAGAAGGCAGAGUCUCCCCUCAAGAACCUCACCAACCAAACUCAGCACUGAUUUUUUCAGCUUUGUUCCCCGCCCCCCUCCCACCCCCAGUCAGCUCUGAGCAGCCGGCACCUUGCUCUUGCUUGGCCUAGGCCUGAGCUAAUUAAAGCCCUUAAUUAAUAGAUCAUCUGUUAUAUCUGUUUAAUCCUUUUAUGGCCCGUUUUGCCAUCCAGAGACCUUGGGGAAGAGUGCUAGAAAGAUAAAGGGCACAGCAGCUGUCCUCCGCCAUGUCCCCCUCCUGCUGGGUCCCCAAAGCCAAGGGACAGCCUUGGAAAUUGGCAGGGGGUGGGCUGAAGAACACCAAAGGGAACCUCCAAGUGGGCAGGAAGUGGGGGCUCUGGGUGUCCUAGGCCUGACUUUUCUAAAGCCUAUUUCUAAGGGUCUGAUUCCCUGAGAGCUAAAUGGAAGACAAAGUUCUGAAAGAGGAAAUUUGGCAUCUCACCUGAAGACGGAUUCCAGGUCUUGGUGGCCGGACUCUGGGAGAGAGGAAGAAAGGAAGAUUCUUACACAGCAGGGACAAAUGUCUUCUGGGUUGGGGGGAGGGGUGGCCAAGUAGAUUCUCUGACAGCUCAAACCGGUUUUCCCCAUCAGGAGUAUUUUUGCUUAAAGAAUAAAACCUUUGGGGAUUCAAAGCA
Molecule: long non-coding RNA, 798 nt
Organism: Suricata suricatta (meerkat)
Lineage: Eukaryota; Metazoa; Chordata; Mammalia; Carnivora; Herpestidae
Exons: 2
Source: RefSeq, a predicted model, not a curated record